UCCGCAUUCCCCGGACUGUCGGC
Molecule: non-coding RNA, 23 nt
Filed under: Cricetulus griseus (Chinese hamster)
Lineage: Eukaryota; Metazoa; Chordata; Mammalia; Rodentia; Cricetidae
Source: RNAcentral